This 72-nucleotide transfer RNA is filed under the name bacterium. Its description in RNAcentral is "tRNA-Thr". It matches the Rfam family "tRNA". From Rfam's summary of the family: Transfer RNA (tRNA) molecules are approximately 80 nucleotides in length. Their secondary structure includes four short double-helical elements and three loops (D, anti-codon, and T loops). The record is from RNAcentral.
GCCGAUAUAGCUCAACGGUAGAGCAACUGCCCUGUAAGCAGUAGGUUGCAGGUUCGAUUCCUGUUGUCGGCU